UACGGAGGGUGCGAGCGUUAUCCGGAUUUAUUGGGUUUAAAGGGUGCGUAGGCGGACUGUCAAGUCAGCGGUAAAAUUGAGAGGCCCAACCUCUUCCCGCCGUUGAAACUGGUGGUCUUGAGUGGAUGAGAAGUACGCGGAAUGCGUGGUGUAGCGGUGAAAUGCAUAGAUAUCACGCAGAACUCCGAUUGCGAAGGCAGCGUACCGGCAUCCAACUGACGCUGAGGCACGAAAGCGUGGGGAUCAAACAGG
RNAcentral lists this ribosomal RNA (252 nucleotides) under uncultured bacterium. RNAcentral's name for it is "partial 16S ribosomal RNA". It matches the Rfam family "Bacterial small subunit ribosomal RNA", at positions 524 to 776 of the family's 1533-position model. The record is from RNAcentral.